GGGCCCAUAGCUCAGCGGUUAGAGCAGGCGACUCAUAAUCGCUUGGUCGCGGGUUCAAAUCCUGCUGGGCCCACCA
RNAcentral lists this transfer RNA (76 nucleotides) under Verrucomicrobiales bacterium. Its description in RNAcentral is "tRNA-Met". It matches the Rfam family "tRNA". From Rfam's summary of the family: Transfer RNA (tRNA) molecules are approximately 80 nucleotides in length. Their secondary structure includes four short double-helical elements and three loops (D, anti-codon, and T loops). Lineage: Bacteria; Pseudomonadati; Verrucomicrobiota; Verrucomicrobiia; Verrucomicrobiales. The record is from RNAcentral.